AAGUCGUAACAAGGUUUCCGUAGGUGAACCUGCGGAAGGAUCAUUACCAAAAAAUAGCCGAUCUCCGGCACGAGGCGGUGACGUCUCAGGCCGUGAUGGACGUGCUUCGACCCUUUGUGAACCCAAAAACCUUUCGCUUCGGCAGCUGGGGGUUGGCUGGGAACAGCCCUCCUGUGAGCCUGCCGUUAGCACCAACCUUUCCAAACUUGCAGUCGAACCUCUGUCUGACAAAAGAAUUUUCGAAUGAAAAUCAAAACUUUCAACAACGGAUCUCUUGGUUCCC
Molecule: unclassified non-coding RNA, 283 nt
Filed under: fungal sp.
Lineage: Eukaryota; Fungi
Description: partial internal transcribed spacer region
Rfam family: Eukaryotic small subunit ribosomal RNA (bases 1-46)
Source: RNAcentral